CAGAGCCCGGAGGCACCGGGCCGCAUCCACCGCCCCUCCCCGCGCCCCGCGGCGGAGGCACCGCCCCGGGGAGAGCGGAGUUUCGCCACGCUCCCUAACGGGCGCGCUGCCGGCGCGGCGGAGCCAGGAGUUUCGCCACACUCCCGUAGUCCCCUCGUGGGGUGGCGGCGCGGUGCAUGCCGGGCCCGACGCGGACUGUCCCUUCGCUGCGCGAGGAGCUGGGAGCCGCGCCUGCCGCCAUGUUCCGCUGGGCCGCCGCCGCCCGGGGCCUCUAGCCGCCGCCGCCCCGCCCCGCCGCCGGCCGCCGCGCGCCCCUCUCCCCCUCAGCCCGCCGGCGGAGGAGGCGGACCCAGGCGCCGUCGCGCCCAGCAGCCGCCGCCGGAGCCCGGCAGCGCCCAGCGAUGUCCGCCAAGGAGGGGAGCAAGGUGCUGCUGCUGACGCCCCACGCCACCAGCGAGCGCGCCGUCAAGGCUGUCCCUUUUCCACCGACGCAUCGCUUGACAUCUGAAGAAGUGUUUGACACAGAUGGAAGACCAAGGGUUGACAUUUUGAAGAACCACUUGAUAAAAGAGGGUCGAGUAGAUGAAGAAAUUGCACUUAGAAUCAUCAAUGAGGGUGCUGCAAUAUUACGGAGGGAAAAAACUAUGAUAGAAGUUGAAGCACCAAUUACAGUGUGUGGUGAUAUUCAUGGCCAGUUCUUUGAUCUAAUGAAGCUGUUUGAAGUGGGAGGAUCACCUGCUAACACAAGAUACCUCUUCCUCGGUGACUAUGUAGACAGAGGUUAUUUUAGUAUAGAGUGUGUGCUGUACUUAUGGGUCCUGAAAAUUCUCUAUCCAAGCACAUUAUUUCUUUUGAGAGGCAACCAUGAAUGCAGACACCUAACAGAGUACUUUACCUUUAAGCAAGAAUGUAAAAUAAAGUACUCGGAAAGAGUCUACGAUGCUUGUAUGGAAGCUUUUGAUUGUCUCCCUCUUGCUGCUCUCUUAAAUCAACAGUUUCUUUGUGUUCAUGGUGGACUCUCACCAGAAAUUAAUACACUAGAUGACAUUAGGAGAUUAGAUAGAUUCAAAGAGCCUCCAGCAUUUGGACCAAUGUGUGACUUAUUGUGGUCAGAUCCUUCAGAAGAUUUUGGAAAUGAAAAUUCACAAGAGCAUUUCAGUCACAAUACAGUCAGAGGAUGCUCAUACUUUUAUAGCUAUCCAGCAGUUUGUGAAUUUUUGCAAAAUAAUAAUUUAUUGUCAAUCAUUAGAGCACAUGAAGCACAAGAUGCAGGUUAUAGAAUGUACAGGAAAAGUCAAACUACAGGGUUCCCAUCAUUAAUAACAAUUUUUUCAGCACCUAAUUACCUGGAUGUCUACAAUAAUAAAGCUGCUGUAUUAAAAUAUGAAAACAAUGUGAUGAAUAUUCGUCAGUUCAAUUGUUCUCCUCAUCCUUACUGGCUACCAAAUUUUAUGGAUGUUUUUACAUGGUCUUUGCCAUUUGUUGGAGAAAAAGUAACAGAAAUGUUGGUGAAUGUUUUGAGCAUUUGCUCUGAUGAUGAACUGAUGACAGAGGGAGAAGAUCAAUUUGACGUAGGUACAGCUGCCGCACGGAAAGAAAUAAUCAGAAACAAAAUUCGUGCAAUUGGCAAGAUGGCAAGAGUCUUCUCUGUUCUCAGGGAGGAGAGUGAAAGUGUGCUGACACUCAAGGGUUUGACUCCCACUGGAAUGUUACCUAGUGGAGUGUUGGCUGGAGGACGACAGACCCUGCAAAGUGAUGCGUUCUAGUUGGAAACUCUUCUCAAAGGUUGAGUGCAGAAGAUCAAGUUUAAAAAUGGUGGAGUCUGGAGCUGUCUCUAAUUCCUGUAUUGUUGGGGAGAAGAAAUUAUAUCCUUCCUCCCAGAAAACUCCACAUACUCACUGAAUGUGGACUUUGGACUUCACAGCUUUCAUCAGAUACUUGCAGUUUGAAGAAGGAUAAGCACCUAAACCACUACAGCAUGACCAUUUAUCAGUAACAGCCAUCCCUUUUGAAUGUAGCACUUACAGAGAUGGUUCUCAUUAGCCCUUCAGUGGUCUCACUGAGAAAGGUAGGAGAAGGUGUACAAACCUCAACAGCUAGAAAUAACAAAGGUGAGGGCCUAAUUUUUUACUACCUGUCCUGGAAUCUCUUGGUUUAACUUUGGAUGCUUAAAGUUUCUUAUAUAUGACUUACCUGGCAUUUGUGCUGGUCCACCUCCAGCGUAGCUUUGGGCAGGAGGUUGUGGGUAGCCACCAAAGCCAGGGCCAGCAGGAGGCACACCAAACCCAGGGCCUGAAGGAGCUAGGGAAAAAACAGCGACUUUAGCAUGCUUAAUGUUCUGUACUUGACUUCUGAUGCGUGAGCCAGGUUACUGAGCAGAGCUAUGUAAGGGACUAAAUCUUCUGUGUCUGUGCAGUGACCCAAAACCAUCAAGGCCCUGCCAUCACCACACAGGUAUUUACUGCAAGACAGCAAUCUGGCUGGCUGCUUACAUGCUGCUGCCUAAAUUGAUCGCUGAACAAAGCUGCUUUUCUUACUACUUCUACCAAGCACAGGGAAUGGUUACACCAGAAGGGGUACUCUAACAAAGGAUCUUACCUCCGGAAUAAGGUGGCAUUCCUCCAGCCUGGGGAGCUCCAGGGUAGCCCCCAGGGGCAGGAUAUCCUGCUGCCCCUGCAUACCCAGCACUCGGUGGUGCUGCAGGAUAGGUGCCACCUCCUCCUGCUGGAGGGUAUCCUCCAGGAACUGGGGGAUAGGAGUACUGACCAGCUGGUGGAUAGACAGACUCUUGUCCUGUGGGCUGAAACACAAAAAUGGGAUGUCUGUAUGCCUGCUAACAGGACACUAAAGUAAAAACUCUCAAGCUACAAAAAUGUCCAUGUGUAUAAUAAUGUGAAUUAGAUAAUUAAAUUCAGCACUUGAAGCAGCAGCAGUAGAAUUCCCGAAGCCUGGAUGGGCGUCUUCUAGUUGCAUUUUGUGAUGCAUCUUCUAUGCUGACACAGAAUCAGAGAGUGCUGCAGGGUGGAAGGCACCUCUGGACGGCCUCUGAUCCCAUCCACCUUCAAAGCAGGGUCAGCUUCAGAGGUAGAUGAGGUCAUACAAGGCCUUGUCAAGUUUUCAGUAUCUCCAGUGAACAGUGAACCCACAGACGCUCUGGGUCCUUGUUCCAGUGUUUGCUUAGCAGACGACUGAAUAGAUUUCCGCUUAACUUUCCUCCAGGUGAGCAGCCCUCCCUGGGCUGUUUGUCUUCCUCUUUGUCCAUGUCUGUUGUACUGGGAGGCCACAACUAGACGUGGUAUUCCAGAUGUGGGCUUGUGAGCACUAAGCACAGAGGAAUAAUUAUUUCCCUUGACCUACUGGCUUUGCUCUUUGCUAAAGCCUGGUAUAUCAUUAGCCUUCCUCCCUGGGUACAUGCACUGCUGAGCCACAUUUGACUUGUCAACCACCAGGACCCCAUGUCCUUUACUGGAAAGCUGCUACUUCUAUCCUGCAUAAGCAAAAGGUGAGCUCAGCCAGGCUUGCUCUCUAUGAAUCAUUAGAAGCUCACCUACUGUUUUUACAGGACUUUUAAGAGCUUAGUAUCUUUGAACUUUCUGCCUCUCUUGCACAACCAGUUUCAAAUGUUACGUGGUGACAACUUACAAGAGGUGUUGGGGUUUUUUUCCAUUUCCUUUGGAUUCCAGGUUAUAAAGCAUGGACAUUCAAUGACUAAAUCUGGACCACUGAGUCAGAUUGAACACCUAUUACAGGUUUUAAAUAAAAAGAACAAGUCAAACAUCUAUAUGCCUUUGUUUUGCUACGUGUAUGACUUAUCAGUCAUACCAUAAACGUUUGCUAUUAGUAUUAACAUACAUUAGAAAUAUUUACUUGAAUGACCAGGAUGUCUAAGGGAAAACCCCUGUAAGUUAAAAGUCAUACACCUGAUCUUAACAAUCAGGUAUUUAAAAUCAGCUUCAUAACGAAGUAUUAUGUAUGGACUCAUUACUCGGUGGGAAUCAUCUUACCAACUAGCUUUAGAAAUACAGGUCACACAUUACAUACAAUAAACAUUCAUUCUCAAUCCGAGAAAACAGAAAUAAACUUCAAAGCAGUAAAGUCUAGCUCAAACAUUCUCCUCAAUUUUGGUUGCCCCAAAAUUUCUACCCCCUGAAUUACUGUGCCCAGGCUAUAUAAUACUCUCUCCCCCAGCAGUACAGUCUAACCUUCCAGACUCAACCAGAAGAUUUUAAUGGCAUUUAGAUUUACAAAUCCAAAAUUAGGAUCCUCAAAAGCCCUGCUCAGAUAACUAUCACUACUGCAGAAGAAAAUAAUUUUGCAUUAUUUUUUGCACUGGUUAUCACUUUGGGCAUCAUCAGUUAGAUUAGGAAACCUAGAAUUGUUGGUAUCAAAUCUAAAGGAUCUUUUAAAUUAAUCCAUUAAAAUUGGCUGUAUUUUAGAUGCUAGCUGAGAAAAAAAAUAUUUUCAGAUAUAAGUAAAAAUAAAUCACAGCUACAAUCACGAGUGUUAGCAGAACUGGGAGGAGGGGAAAGAAAUCCUGGAGUUAAGAAAGUCUGGUUUCUAUCAUGUUUGUCUUUAGUUUGACUUCAGUGUUUCAGAGGGAGUAAGGGUAAAAUGUAAAGCAAAAUAAUUGGAGAAUUUAUUGCAUGUAUUUAUAGAUAUUGGAUGUAUUUAUAGCUUUUCAGUAUCUUAAUGGGAUCCAGGCUGAGCUCCAUGCUGAAGUCUAGUUCUGUACUACAUGAAACACUGACCAUAUAAAAUUCUCACAAUUACAGUAUGAUCAGUGCCAUACUAAUAAAAGUACACAGUUGCAUCUAGCUUUGAAAAACAAUGCAGGCAUAUCAAAAAGACUGCAGUAUCAGUCACACCUGAUACAUUCCAGCCUUCUGUCAAGUUUCACUGGAAUUUUCAGCCCAUUCAGUCAUGAACUGAAGGUGGAACAAAGUCCUGCAGCUGAAGGAGAGGGGGUCGAAGCCAAGAUACUGUGUCCUUUAUCCUCAGAAAAAUGUUUACUUGGUGUCAUAUGAAAGCUUGGCUACUUGAGUAAAGCAUUCCAAGCUCUUCCUGAGGGUAGUGGCCACUGAAGAUUUUUCAGCAUCUCUGUAAAUCCUGGGAUACAGGUACACAGGAUAUUUGUACAGACUGUGGUAGAGACUGGUUCAGAGAUUACCUCUGACCCUGUAUGUAAAGACCUGCAAGAACUACCGAUACAUCUAAAAAAAGUUAUUGCUGAGAUACCUAUAUUAAAACAACAAAUUAGCAAGAAAAAGAUAAGAUAAAACAAGAUCAAUCAAUCAAAAACCUUCUGGAACAACAGACAUUAUGAAAAUAAAAAAACCCAAACCAGAAGCAAAGCCCAUAAUCUCUAGAGAAUAUUGUAUAUGAACUGACAG
Molecule: RNA transcript, 5390 nt
Organism: Strigops habroptila (Kakapo)
Lineage: Eukaryota; Metazoa; Chordata; Aves; Psittaciformes; Psittacidae
Gene: PPP3CB
Gene name: protein phosphatase 3 catalytic subunit beta
Exons: 15
Source: RefSeq, a predicted model, not a curated record